This 253-nucleotide ribosomal RNA is filed under the name uncultured bacterium. RNAcentral's name for it is "partial 16S ribosomal RNA". It matches the Rfam family "Bacterial small subunit ribosomal RNA", at positions 524 to 776 of the family's 1533-position model. The record is from RNAcentral.
UACGUAGGGGGCAAGCGUUGUCCGGAUUUAUUGGGCGUAAAGAGCGUGUAGGCGGCUUGGUAGGUCUGCUGUGAAAACUCGAGGCUCAACCUCGAGACGUCGGCGGAAACCAUCUGGCUAGAGUCCGGAAGAGGAGAGUGGAAUUCCUGGUGUAGCGGUGAAAUGCGCAGAUAUCAGGAAGAACACCGGUGGCGAAGGCGGGUCUCUGGGCAGUAACUGACGCUGAGACACGAAAGCGUGGGGAGCAAACAGG